RNAcentral lists this ribosomal RNA (264 nucleotides) under uncultured bacterium. RNAcentral's name for it is "partial 16S ribosomal RNA". It matches the Rfam family "Bacterial small subunit ribosomal RNA", at positions 28 to 292 of the family's 1533-position model. The record is from RNAcentral.
GAUUAACGCUAGCGGCAGGCCUAAUACAUGCAAGUCGAACGGUAAAUAGUAGCAAUAUUAUGAGAGUGGCGCACGGGUAAGUAACGCGUAUGCAACCUACCUAUAACAGGGGAAUAGCUCAGAGAAAUCUGAAUUAACGCCGCAUAACAUUAUUUUAUGGCAUCAUAAGAUAAUACAAACUACCGGUGGUUAUAGAUGGGCGAUGCGUGACAUUAGCUAGUUGGUGAGGUAAUGGCUCACCAAGGCUUCGAUGUCUAGGGGGUC